This 639-nucleotide ribosomal RNA is filed under the name Paenibacillus larvae. RNAcentral describes it as "bacterial SSU rRNA". It matches the Rfam family "Bacterial small subunit ribosomal RNA", at positions 66 to 689 of the family's 1533-position model. The record is from RNAcentral. Lineage: Bacteria; Bacillati; Bacillota; Bacilli; Caryophanales; Paenibacillaceae.
GCGGACAGAAGGGAGCUUGCUCCCGGAUGUUAGCGGCGGACGGGUGAGUAACACGUGGGUAACCUGCCUGUAAGACUGGGAUAACUCCGGGAAACCGGAGCUAAUACCGGAUAGUUCCUUGAACCGCAUGGUUCAAGGAUGAAAGACGGUUUCGGCUGUCACUUACAGAUGGACCCGCGGCGCAUUAGCUAGUUGGUGGGGUAAUGGCUCACCAAGGCGACGAUGCGUAGCCGACCUGAGAGGGUGAUCGGCCACACUGGGACUGAGACACGGCCCAGACUCCUACGGGAGGCAGCAGUAGGGAAUCUUCCGCAAUGGACGAAAGUCUGACGGAGCAACGCCGCGUGAGUGAUGAAGGUUUUCGGAUCGUAAAGCUCUGUUGUUAGGGAAGAACAAGUGCGAGAGUAACUGCUCGCACCUUGACGGUACCUAACCAGAAAGCCACGGCUAACUAGGUGCCAGCAGCCGCGGUAAUACGUAGGUGGCAAGCGUUGUCCGGAAUUAUUGGGCGUAAAGGGCUCGCAGGCGGUUUCUUAAGUCUGAUGUGAAAGCCCCCGGCUCACCCGGGGAGCGUCAUUGAAAGCUGAGAAACUUGAGUGCAGAAGAGAGAGUGAAAUUCCACGUGUAGCGGUGAUGUGC